Molecule: ribosomal RNA, 114 nt
Filed under: Neogale vison (American mink)
Lineage: Eukaryota; Metazoa; Chordata; Mammalia; Carnivora; Mustelidae
Source: RNAcentral
CCCUGCAGCCAUCCCUCCUUGGGCAGGGAUCCCAUCAGAUUUUACAAGCCAGGCAGGGUCAGGCCUGGUAAAAAACGUGAAUGGGAAUGCCCAGAACAACAAAGGCAGCGGGCG